Molecule: non-coding RNA, 45 nt
Filed under: Schistosoma mansoni
Lineage: Eukaryota; Metazoa; Platyhelminthes; Trematoda; Strigeidida; Schistosomatidae
Source: RNAcentral
AUCCAACUGACGAGUUCAAAAUAAGACAAGACAUGCGUCCUGGAU